UACAGAGGGUGCGAGCGUUGUUCGGAAUUAUUGGGCGUAAAGCGCGUGUAGGCGGCGACGUAUGUCGGGUGUGAAAGCCCUCGGCUCAACCGGGGAAGUGCGCCCGAAACUACGUUGCUAGAGUGCUGGAGAGGGUAGCGGAAUUCCGGGUGUAGAGGUGAAAUUCGUAGAUAUCCGGAGGAACACCAGUGGCGAAGGCGGCUACCUGGACCAAUACUGACGCUCAUGUGCGAAAGCGUGGGGAGCAAACAGG
RNAcentral lists this ribosomal RNA (253 nucleotides) under uncultured bacterium. RNAcentral's name for it is "partial 16S ribosomal RNA". It matches the Rfam family "Bacterial small subunit ribosomal RNA", at positions 524 to 776 of the family's 1533-position model. The record is from RNAcentral.